This 406-nucleotide ribosomal RNA is filed under the name uncultured bacterium. Its description in RNAcentral is "partial 16S ribosomal RNA". It matches the Rfam family "Bacterial small subunit ribosomal RNA", at positions 30 to 526 of the family's 1533-position model. The record is from RNAcentral.
AUUGAACGCUGGCGGCAGGCUUAACACAUGCAAGUCGAACGAGUGGCGGACGGGCGGGUAGUGCUUGGGAAUCUUGCUUAUGGAGGGGGAUAACUACGGGAAACUGUAGCUACUACCGCGUACCAUAGGCUGAGCCCAAGUGGGAUUAGGGAGUUGGUGAGGUAAAGGCACACCAAGCCGACGCUCUCUAGCUGGUCUGAGAGGAUGACCAGCCACACUGGAACUGAGACACGGUCCAGACUCCUACGGGAGGCAGCAGUGGGGAAUAUUGCACAAUGGGCGCAAGCCUGAUGCAGCCAUGCCGCGUGUAUGAAGAAGGCCUUCGGGUUGUAAAGUACUUUCAGCGGGGAGGCGUUACCCACAGAAGAAGCACCGGCUAACUCCGUGCCAGCAGCCGCGGUAAUAC